This 440-nucleotide ribosomal RNA is filed under the name uncultured bacterium. RNAcentral describes it as "partial 16S ribosomal RNA". It matches the Rfam family "Bacterial small subunit ribosomal RNA", at positions 338 to 795 of the family's 1533-position model. The record is from RNAcentral.
CCUACGGGAGGCAGCAGUGGGGAAUAUUGCACAAUGGGGGAAACCCUGAUGCAGCGACGCCGCGUGAGCGAUGAAGUCUUUCGGUAUGUAAAGCUCUAUCAGCAGGGAAGAAGAUGACGGUACCUGACUAAGAUGCCCCGGAUAACAACGUGCCAGCAGCCGCGGUAAUGCGGAGGGGGCCAGCGUUAUCCGGAUUUAAUGGGUGUAAAGGGUGCGUAGACGGCGUAGAAAGCCAGAUGUGAAAGCCCGGGGCUCAAACCCGGGAUGGCAUUUGGAACUGUGUGGCUGGAGUGUCGGAGAGGUAGGCGGAAUUCCUAGUGUAGCGGUGAAAUGCGUAGAUAUUAGGAGGAACACCGAUGGCGAAGGCAGCCUACUGGACGAUGACUGACGUUGAGGCUCGAAAGCGUGGGGAGCAAACAGGAUUAGAUACCCUAGUAGUC